GCUAGUAGGCGGCUUAGCAAGUCGGGUGUGAAAACUUCAGGCUCAACCUGGAGCGGCCAUCCGAUACUGCUAUGGCUAGAGUCCGGUAGGGGACCACGGAAUUCCUGGUGUAGCGGUGAAAUGCGCAGAUAUCAGGAGGAACACCGAUGGCGAAGGCAGUGGUCUGGGCCGGAACUGACGCUGAAUAGCGAAAGCGUGGGUAGCGAACAGGAUUAGAUACCCUGGUAGUCCACGCCGUAAACGUUGGGCACUAGGUGUGGGGAGUUAUCAACGCUCUCCGUGCCGUAGCUAACGCAUUAAGUGCCCCGCCUGGGGAGUACGGCCGCAAGGCUAAAACUCAAAGGAAUUGACGGGGGCCCGCACAAGCGGCGGAGCAUGUGCCUUAAUUCGAGGCGACGCGAAGAACCUUACCUGGGUUGAACUACGCAGGAAAAGCCGUAGAGAUACGGUGUCCUUCGGGGCCUGCGAUAGGUGGUGCAUGGCUGUCGUCAGCUCGUGUUGUGAGAUGUUGGGUUAAGUCCCGCAACGAGCGCAACCCUCGUCCUAUGUU
This 550-nucleotide ribosomal RNA is filed under the name uncultured bacterium. Its description in RNAcentral is "bacterial SSU rRNA". It matches the Rfam family "Bacterial small subunit ribosomal RNA", at positions 567 to 1116 of the family's 1533-position model. The record is from RNAcentral.